RNAcentral lists this ribosomal RNA (462 nucleotides) under Triticum aestivum (bread wheat). Its description in RNAcentral is "partial small subunit ribosomal RNA". Lineage: Eukaryota; Viridiplantae; Streptophyta; Magnoliopsida; Poales; Poaceae. The record is from RNAcentral.
CCUGGAGUUACUAGCAGAUGGAUUCCUCCUUUAGAAGGCUUUAUUAAAAUCAAUGUUGACGCAUGUGUCUCAACAGACCAGACUGUGGGCACAACAACCGCAGUAUGCAGGGAUCGGGAUGGAGCUUUUCUUGGCUCGUCCAUGAUUCUGAUCCAUGGGUUAGUUGAUCCUCUCUCGCUCGAGGCGAUUGCAUGUAGGGAGGGGUUGGCUCUGGCGCAAGAUCUUGGCAUGGAAUAUACUCAAGCCGCUUCGGACUGCAAGCAAGUGAUACAACACAUUCACCAGGGAGCAAGAGGAGAUUAUGGCGCUAUCAUUAAGGAAAUUUUGGAAACUUCUACCACUUUUAAUUCUUGUAAUUUUUGCUUUGAAUUUCGAGAAUCAAAUUUUGAACCUCAUAAGCUAGCUAGGUUUGGUGUUUCUCUUCCUGUUGGAAGACACCAUAUGGUUGGGUACUCCACAUGA